GCUCAGGAUGAACGCUGGCGGCGUGCUUAACACAUGCAAGUCGAACGGUGAACACGGAGCUUGCUCUGUGGGAUCAGUGGCGAACGGGUGAGUAACACGUGAGCAACCUGCCCCUGACUCUGGGAUAAGCGCUGGAAACGGCGUCUAAUACUGGAUAUGUGACGUGACCGCAUGGUCUGCGUCUGGAAAGAUUUUUCGGUUGGGGAUGGGCUCGCGGCCUAUCAGCUUGUUGGUGAGGUAAUGGCUCACCAAGGCGUCGACGGGUAGCCGGCCUGAGAGGGUGACCGGCCACACUGGGACUGAGACACGGCCCAGACUCCUACGGGAGGCAGCAGUGGGGAAUAUUGCACAAUGGGCGCAAGCCUGAUGCAGCAACGCCGCGUGAGGGAUGACGGCCUUCGGGUUGUAAACCUCUUUUAGCAGGGAAGAAGCGAAAGU
This 438-nucleotide ribosomal RNA is filed under the name Microbacterium sp. R-46024. RNAcentral describes it as "bacterial SSU rRNA". It matches the Rfam family "Bacterial small subunit ribosomal RNA", at positions 22 to 457 of the family's 1533-position model. Lineage: Bacteria; Bacillati; Actinomycetota; Actinomycetes; Micrococcales; Microbacteriaceae. The record is from RNAcentral.